ACACGUGGGAAACCUGCCCAGAAGCGGGGGAUAACACCUGGAAACAGAUGCUAAUACCGCAUAACAACUUGGACCGCAUGGUCCGAGUUUGAAAGAUGGCUUCGGCUAUCACUUUUGGAUGGUCCCGCGGCGUAUUAGCUAGAUGGUGAGGUAACGGCUCACCAUGGCAAUGAUACGUAGCCGACCUGAGAGGGUAAUCGGCCACAUUGGGACUGAAACCCGGCCAAAACUCCUACGGGAGGCACCAUUAGGGAAUCUUCCACAAUGGACAAAAGUCUGAUGGAGCAACGCCGCGUGAGUGAAGAAGGGUUUCGGCUCGUAAAACUCUGUUGUUAAAGAAGAACAUAUCUGAGAGUAACUGUUCAGGUAUUGACGGUAUUUAACCAGAAAGCCACGGCUAACUACGUGCCAGCAGCCGCGGUAAUACGUAGGUGGCAAGCGUUGUCCGGAUUUAUUGGGCGUAAAGCGAGCGCAGGCGGUUUUUUAAGUCUGAUGUGAAAGCCUUCGGCUCAACCGAAGAAGUGCAUCGGAAACUGGGAAACUUGAGUGCAGAAGAGGACAGUGGAACUCCAUGUGUAGCGGUGAAAAUGCGUAGAUAUAUGGAAGAACACCAGUGGCGAAAGCGGCUGUCUGGUCUGUAACUGACGCUGAAGCUCGAAAGUAUGGGUAGCAAACAGGAUUAAAUACCCUGGUAGUCCAUACCGAAAACCGAUGAAUGCUAAGUGUUGGAGGGUUUCCGCCCUUUCAGUGCUGCAGCUAA
Molecule: ribosomal RNA, 760 nt
Filed under: Lactiplantibacillus plantarum
Lineage: Bacteria; Bacillati; Bacillota; Bacilli; Lactobacillales; Lactobacillaceae
Description: bacterial SSU rRNA
Rfam family: Bacterial small subunit ribosomal RNA
Source: RNAcentral